AUUGAACGCUGGCGGCAGGCCUAACACAUGCAAGUCGAACGGUAACAGGAAGCAGCUUGCUGCUUUGCUGACGAGUGGCGGACGGGUGAGUAAUGUCUGGGAAACUGCCUGAUGGAGGGGGAUAACUACUGGAAACGGUAGCUAAUACCGCAUAACGUCGCAAGACCAAAGAGGGGGACCUUAGGGCCUCUUGCCAUCGGAUGUGCCCAGAUGGGAUUAGCUAGUAGGUGGGGUAACGGCUCACCUAGGCGACGAUCCCUAGCUGGUCUGAGAGGAUGACCAGCCACACUGGAACUGAGACACGGUCCAGAUUCCUACGGGAGGCAGCAGUGGGGAAUAUUGCACAAUGGGCGCAAGCCUGAUGCAGCCAUGCCGCGUGUAUGAAGAAGGCCUUCGGGUUGUAAAGUACUUUCAGCGGGGAGGAAGGGAGUAAAGUUAAUACCUUUGCUCAUUGACGUUACCCGCAGAAGAAGCACCGGCUAACUCCGUG
Molecule: ribosomal RNA, 490 nt
Filed under: uncultured bacterium
Lineage: Bacteria
Description: partial 16S ribosomal RNA
Rfam family: Bacterial small subunit ribosomal RNA
Source: RNAcentral